RNAcentral lists this unclassified non-coding RNA (1084 nucleotides) under Hevea brasiliensis (rubber tree). The record is from RNAcentral. Lineage: Eukaryota; Viridiplantae; Streptophyta; Magnoliopsida; Malpighiales; Euphorbiaceae.
ACUUGGGGUGCUAAAAGUAUCCUCAACCAAGAAAGAUGAGUCCCACAACUUUUCAUUUGUCUGUUUUGGUCCAAGCACUUCAUGCAACUCACUAUCCUUGGGAAAUCUAAAGAAACUGCUUAUAACUUUAUUAUCUGUAUCAUUAGUAGCCUGACCUCCAGAUGGUUCCCCUGCUACGUCUCCAGCAGGAUAAGAACUAAUAAUUCCAUUGAAAGAUUCUCCAAACAUUCCCACAUUGUAAUCAUUACAGUCAGAAUAUGCCUGCAGUUCUUCCAUCAGACAAGAAAGUUCAAACAACUUGCUCUCCAUCAUCUCCAGCUGGCUGGCAUUUAUAGAUACACUUGGAAUUGAUAUUUCAGCAAGACUAAUAGGUGGCACAUCAAUCCUAUUUUCUCUUUCAUAUUGGAGAGCUUCUAGCAGAUCUUUUCCGUCUGGCAUAAAUGAAUCUUCAGCAGUUAUUAGUGGCAGAACUUGACUUGCACUGGACGGAUUGUUAUUAUCUAUCUCAACACUGUUGACAGGUAUCGAAUGAUUUAAAUCUUGAGUCUUCACCGAUGUAAAUGCAGUAGUUGAUGGUGCAUUUAAGCAUUCAAUGGCACCAGACAUCAGUGGGGAUGACGGUUUGGGUUCGAAUUCCUCCUUUACGGAGAAAGUUGAACUAUUUCCUCCAACACUGAGCAGGCCAUGGAAUCUACCUUUGACAUUCGCUACUAUAUUGACAUCUUCAGCAACCUCUUCUAAUGAUCCCAGUUGCAAAACUCCAUGUGGAAGCACAGGCACCAGCAAAAUAGUCCUGAUACCUGAUGCAAACUGAACUAGCCAUUCUUCUGGACACUGCUCAGGAAUUAACUGGACAUCACCAGUGAAAAUGCUAUUGAAGGAAACCCAGCAAUGGACCCUUGUAAAUGCAACUUUGCCAACAACCCCUUCUCCCAAGGCAUAAUGAAGAUGAGACAUGUCAGCCACUAGAAGUCCAACUGGAUAAUCCUCUAAGCUACAAUUGGAUGUAUUUGUUUCUAACUGAGGAGAAAACAUAUCAGUUACACCUUUGCAGUAACCAACAUUUGUUAUACUUUCCACAAGU